RNAcentral lists this unclassified non-coding RNA (869 nucleotides) under Thelebolus microsporus. RNAcentral's name for it is "sequence contains 18S rRNA gene, ITS1, 5.8S rRNA gene, ITS2, 28S rRNA gene". The stretch from base 463 to 869 matches the Rfam family "Eukaryotic large subunit ribosomal RNA", at positions 1 to 408 of the family's 3401-position model. Lineage: Eukaryota; Fungi; Ascomycota; Leotiomycetes; Thelebolales; Thelebolaceae. The record is from RNAcentral.
UUGCCCUUCGGGGUAUACCUCCCACCCUUUGUUUAUUUAUACCUUUGUUGCUUUGGCAGACCCGGCUUCGGCCCACCGGCUCCGGCUGGUCAGUGUCUGCCAGAGGACCUAAAACUCUGUUUGUUAAUAUUGUCUGAGUACUAUAUAAUAGUUAAAACUUUCAACAACGGAUCUCUUGGUUCUGGCAUCGAUGAAGAACGCAGCGAAAUGCGAUAAGUAAUGUGAAUUGCAGAAUUCAGUGAAUCAUCGAAUCUUUGAACGCACAUUGCGCCCUCUGGUAUUCCGGGGGGCAUGCCUGUUCGAGCGUCAUUACAACCCUCAAGCUUUGCUUGGUAUUGGACAUUGCCAGUUUCUGGCAGGUCUUAAAAUCAGUGGCGGUGCCAUUUGGCUUCAAGCGUAGUAAUUCUUCUCGCUUUGGAGAUCCAAGUGGUUACUUGCCAAUAACCCCCAAUUUUUUCAGGUUGACCUCGGAUCAGGUAGGGAUACCCGCUGAACUUAAGCAUAUCAAUAAGCGGAGGAAAAGAAACCAACAGGGAUUACCUCAGUAACGGCGAGUGAAGCGGUAACAGCUCAAAUUUGAAAUCUGGCAGCAAUGUCCGAGUUGUAAUUUGUAGAGGAUGUUUCGAGCAUGGUCUGGCCUAAGUUCCUUGGAACAGGACGUCAUAGAGGGUGAGAAUCCCGUAUGCGGUCAGGUGCCUACGCUCAUGUGAAACUCCUUCGACGAGUCGAGUUGUUUGGGAAUGCAGCUCAAAAUGGGUGGUAAAUUUCAUCUAAAGCUAAAUAUUGGCCAGAGACCGAUAGCGCACAAGUAGAGUGAUCGAAAGAUGAAAAGCACUUUGGAAAGAGAGUUAAACAGUACGUGAAAUUGU